Choloepus didactylus (southern two-toed sloth) is the source of this 440-nucleotide long non-coding RNA. RefSeq lists it as uncharacterized. The record is from RefSeq and is a predicted model, not a curated record. NCBI's taxonomy places the organism in Eukaryota, Metazoa, Chordata, Mammalia, Pilosa, Megalonychidae. The transcript is spliced from 3 exons.
CAUUUCCUGUGUUCAUUUUGAAAGACAGAAUGUCAGUAACAAUGAUACUCCUGCAGAAAAAGAAGACAUUUUCAGCUUCUCCCUCUCUUUCUCUCUCUCUCCAAUUAGAUCAACAAAUGUACAAAGUGAACAAAGAACAAUUUACCUACCCAAGAAAAUAAAGAGCUCAUUUGGGACACUGUGCAUGGAGGCAAACGAGACAGGUUCUCACAGGUUACAGCCCAAGGAAAAGAAGGGUUAGGAGUAUGGGCUUUGGAGUCAGAUGGAACCAGAUUCAAAUCCCAGAAACCUUCAGCACUCACAAGUGUCUGGAAAAGGAGGAUGGUUUCUCAUAUAUUCUGCAUUACCACUAUCACCUUUGGAUGUUCCAGUUCUCAAUAAAAUUUUAUCAUCACAGCAUUUUCAAAAUAUUAUUUCAUUACCUUUGCAGUCAACUUUUC